Molecule: ribosomal RNA, 253 nt
Filed under: uncultured bacterium
Lineage: Bacteria
Description: partial 16S ribosomal RNA
Rfam family: Bacterial small subunit ribosomal RNA
Source: RNAcentral
UACAGAGGGGGCGAGCGUUAUUCGGAAUUAUUGGGCGUAAAGGGCGCGUAGGCGGCCUUUCAAGUGACGGGUGAAAUCCCUCGGCUUAACCGAGGAACUGCCUGUCAGACUGGAAGGCUUGAGACCGGGAGAGGUGAGUGGAAUUCCCAGUGUAGCGGUGAAAUGCGUAGAUAUUGGGAGGAACACCAGUGGCGAAGGCGGCUCACUGGACCGGCACUGACGCUGAGGCGCGAAAGCGUGGGGAGCAAACAGG